This 2903-nucleotide ribosomal RNA is filed under the name Salmonella enterica subsp. enterica. Its description in RNAcentral is "23S ribosomal RNA". It matches the Rfam family "Bacterial large subunit ribosomal RNA". The record is from RNAcentral. Lineage: Bacteria; Pseudomonadati; Pseudomonadota; Gammaproteobacteria; Enterobacterales; Enterobacteriaceae.
UUAAGCGACUAAGCGUACACGGUGGAUGCCCUGGCAGUCAGAGGCGAUGAAGGGCGUGCUAAUCUGCGAUAAGCGCCGGUAAGGUGAUAUGAACCGUUAUAACCGGCGAUACCCGAAUGGGGAAACCCAGUGUGACUCGUCACACUAUCAUUAACUGAAUCCAUAGGUUAAUGAGGCGAACCGGGGGAACUGAAACAUCUAAGUACCCCGAGGAAAAGAAAUCAACCGAGAUUCCCCCAGUAGCGGCGAGCGAACGGGGAGGAGCCCAGAGCCUGAAUCAGCAUGUGUGUUAGUGGAAGCGUCUGGAAAGGCGCGCGAUACAGGGUGACAGCCCCGUACACAAAAGCGCAUGUGCUGUGAGCUCGAUGAGUAGGGCGGGACACGUGGUAUCCUGUCUGAAUAUGGGGGGACCAUCCUCCAAGGCUAAAUACUCCUGACUGACCGAUAGUGAACCAGUACCGUGAGGGAAAGGCGAAAAGAACCCCGGCGAGGGGAGUGAAAAAGAACCUGAAACCGUGUACGUACAAGCAGUGGGAGCACCCUUUGGGGUGUGACUGCGUACCUUUUGUAUAAUGGGUCAGCGACUUAUAUUCUGUAGCAAGGUUAACCGAAUAGGGGAGCCGGAGGGAAACCGAGUCUUAACCGGGCGUUAAGUUGCAGGGUAUAGACCCGAAACCCGGUGAUCUAGCCAUGGGCAGGUUGAAGGUUGGGUAACACUAACUGGAGGACCGAACCGACUAAUGUUGAAAAAUUAGCGGAUGACCUGUGGCUGGGGGUGAAAGGCCAAUCAAACCGGGAGAUAGCUGGUUCUCCCCGAAAGCUAUUUAGGUAGCGCCUCGUGAAUUCAUCUCCGGGGGUAGAGCACUGUUUCGGCUAGGGGGCCAUCCCGGCUUACCAACCCGAUGCAAACUGCGAAUACCGGAGAAUGUUAUCACGGGAGACACACGGCGGGUGCUAACGUCCGUCGUGAAGAGGGAAACAACCCAGACCGCCAGCUAAGGUCCCAAAGUCAUGGUUAAGUGGGAAACGAUGUGGGAAGGCCCAGACAGCCAGGAUGUUGGCUUAGAAGCAGCCAUCAUUUAAAGAAAGCGUAAUAGCUCACUGGUCGAGUCGGCCUGCGCGGAAGAUGUAACGGGGCUAAACCAUGCACCGAAGCUGCGGCAGCGACGCUGAUGCGUUGUUGGGUAGGGGAGCGUUCUGUAAGCCUGCGAAGGUGUGUCGUGAGGCAUGCUGGAGGUAUCAGAAGUGCGAAUGCUGACAUAAGUAACGAUAAAGCGGGUGAAAAGCCCGCUCGCCGGAAGACCAAGGGUUCCUGUCCAACGUUAAUCGGGGCAGGGUGAGUCGACCCCUAAGGCGAGGCCGAAAGGCGUAGUCGAUGGGAAACGGGUUAAUAUUCCCGUACUUGGUGUUACUGCGAAGGGGGGACGGAGAAGGCUAUGUUGGCCGGGCGACGGUUGUCCCGGUUUAAGCGUGUAGGUGUGUGUUCCAGGUAAAUCCGGUUCACUUUAACACUGAGGCGUGAUGACGAGGCACUACGGUGCUGAAGCAACAAAUGCCCUGCUUCCAGGAAAAGCCUCUAAGCAUCAGGUAACAUCAAAUCGUACCCCAAACCGACACAGGUGGUCAGGUAGAGAAUACCAAGGCGCUUGAGAGAACUCGGGUGAAGGAACUAGGCAAAAUGGUGCCGUAACUUCGGGAGAAGGCACGCUGACACGUAGGUGAAGUGAUUUACUCAUGGAGCUGAAGUCAGUCGAAGAUACCAGCUGGCUGCAACUGUUUAUUAAAAACACAGCACUGUGCAAACACGAAAGUGGACGUAUACGGUGUGACGCCUGCCCGGUGCCGGAAGGUUAAUUGAUGGGGUCAGCGCAAGCGAAGCUCCUGAUCGAAGCCCCGGUAAACGGCGGCCGUAACUAUAACGGUCCUAAGGUAGCGAAAUUCCUUGUCGGGUAAGUUCCGACCUGCACGAAUGGCGUAAUGAUGGCCAGGCUGUCUCCACCCGAGACUCAGUGAAAUUGAACUCGCUGUGAAGAUGCAGUGUACCCGCGGCAAGACGGAAAGACCCCGUGAACCUUUACUAUAGCUUGACACUGAACAUUGAGCCUUGAUGUGUAGGAUAGGUGGGAGGCUUUGAAGUGUGGACGCCAGUCUGCAUGGAGCCGGCCUUGAAAUACCACCCUUUAAUGUUUGAUGUUCUAACGUGGACCCGUGAUCCGGGUUGCGGACAGUGUCUGGUGGUAGUUUGACUGGGGCGGUCUCCUCCUAAAGAGUAACGGAGGAGCACGAAGGUUGGCUAAUCCUGGUCGGACAUCAGGAGGUUAGUGCAAUGGCAUAAGCCAGCUUGACUGCGAGCGUGACGGCGCGAGCAGGUGCGAAAGCAGGUCAUAGUGAUCCGGUGGUUCUGAAUGGAAGGGCCAUCGCUCAACGGAUAAAAGGUACUCCGGGGAUAACAGGCUGAUACCGCCCAAGAGUUCAUAUCGACGGCGGUGUUUGGCACCUCGAUGUCGGCUCAUCACAUCCUGGGGCUGAAGUAGGUCCCAAGGGUAUGGCUGUUCGCCAUUUAAAGUGGUACGCGAGCUGGGUUUAGAACGUCGUGAGACAGUUCGGUCCCUAUCUGCCGUGGGCGCUGGAGAACUGAGGGGGGCUGCUCCUAGUACGAGAGGACCGGAGUGGACGCAUCACUGGUGUUCGGGUUGUCAUGCCAAUGGCACUGCCCGGUAGCUAAAUGCGGAAGAGAUAAGUGCUGAAAGCAUCUAAGCACGAAACUUGCCCCGAGAUGAGUUCUCCCUGAGACUUAGAGUCUCCUGAAGGAACGUUGAAGACGACGACGUUGAUAGGCCGGGUGUGUAAGCGCAGCGAUGCGUUGAGCUAACCGGUACUAAUGAACCGUGAGGCUUAACCUU